CUCCAAAUGUUCACUUUUGGAUACUUCCCUGCCUGACUGCAUGAUGCUGCCGAUGGAUGGGGGAUACAAGAGAGAAAAAGAGCUGGCUGACCAAGGUACUCGUCGGGGACCGUAGUAGACCCCCGCAUCCAUCGGCGCAUGAUUGGCACACAAUACGAUUCUUCUCCUCCUUCUUCUUCUUCCUUCGCUCUACGGCCGGGACGGCGCCGGUAGAGGUUGAGCUGGCGCUAUCAUCCUCUCCCAUAUCCCCCAUGUGAGCUGUUGUUAUUAGGAGCAAGAGAUCAAUCUAGCUUAAUUCUAGUACUGCUAAAUCAUCGUCAUCAUCAGGCGCAUCUGUCCCGCUUUAUUAGGCUAGCUUUGCUGCUUUAAUUUACCACCUUUCCGGUGAUUAGCACUGCUAGUUUCUCGAUCGAUCGCCGGCUUUUCUUUUUUCGGAUAUAUGCAUAUCGGUUUAAGCUUAACUAUGAUUGAUAAAGCUUUUACGAUGGUCUCUGCUGAUAUAGGCAUAUAGGCAUGUUUAAUGUGUACGUCUAAUAUGAAGUUGACUCUUAUCACACCAAAUGUGAUAGAUAACCAACUUGCACAUGCAUGCGUGUGUGGUGUCCGUAGAGGCUGCCAAGCACUCCCUUUCAUGUUAAUUUUGAGGGUGUGUGUUCACCUUAAUUUUUUUUUUAGAAUUACAUAGUCAGGACCGGCUCUGGGCCACGGCAAGAAGUGCGAUGGCCUAGGGCCCAGAAAAAGUAGGGGCCCAGACCUAGGUAUGUAUUAGGUAUACCAUAUGCACGUAUACAAGUUUCUGAUCGAAUCAUUGGGCAUACACGACCGUCCAAGUUCCAAACUUUUGUCUUCUCGUCUCCUCUCCUCUACCGGCGGCAGUCUCCGCCAAUCCGCCUCCAGCGCCCUCCACGGCGCCUGCGCAAGUUCGCCCCACGCCGAGCCGCCGGCGAUCCCUUCAGCAUUCAGCCCUUCACAGCUUUGUGCCUUUGUCUGUCGACUGUUCGCCUUGGACACCGGCCGACCGGCGACCGCCGACACAACACAACGUGAAUCUGCCUCAACUUCCAGAGUGUCUGCAGGUUUCAAUUUACAGGUUUGCAAUGUUACCUAAAAAGCAUUUAUCUGGUGCUAAGAAAAGGAAAAAAAGAAAACGAGGAGAUCAGUUUAUUGAAUCACAGAAGGGUGCUAUACAUAAGUUCUUUUCGGCAUCAAGUAGUGCUGUUCCUGAUGAAAAUCCUGAGGCAGAUUAUCCUAGUACUGAAGAACAAGAGCAGCAACUUGUUCUUUUUGUAAAUACUGAAGAUGACGCUAAUCAUGAUGAUUCAGAACAUGAAAAUUUGCAGCGUUCACCUUGUACUGAGAAUGCAAAUGUUGAUGUACAUGAGAAUAUCUAUGAUCCUAGGACUUGGGAAAAUCUUGACAACAGGGGGAGAGAUAUAUUAAUUGAAAAGGGGCCUAUCAGAGAAUUCAAUCUACUGUUCCCUUCAGAUAGUAGUGGUAGACAUUUUUCGUAUGCUUACUACUCUAGAAAGCUGAGCAAUGGUGAGGUGAUUGAUAGAAAAUGGUUGGUUUACUCUAAGCAUGUGGACAAAGUAUAUUGUUUUUGCUGUAAACUGUUCAAAUCAAAUCAGAGCAAAAGUUUGUUAGCUUCUGAUGGAUUGAAGGACUGGAAGCAUCUCAGUGGAAGACUCAAACAGCAUGAGAACAGUGUGGAGCAUAUAAAAAACAUGAAUACUUGGAAUGAACUUAGGUUGAGGUUAAGCCAAAAUCAGACAAUUGAUGAUGAUUUGCAACGGGGAAUUUCAAAGGAGAAAGAGCGUUGGAGACAAGUUUUGAUAAGAAUAGUUGCUGCAGUGAAGUUUCUUGCUAAACAUAAUUUGGCCUUUCGAGGAUCCAAUGAGAAACUUUAUCAAGAUAACAAUGGCAAUUUUCUGGGCACAAUUGAAAUGGUUGCUGAGUUUGAUUCUGUGAUGCAAGACCACAUUAGACGCAUUCAAAAUCAUGAAGUUCACCAUCACUAUCUCGGCCACAAUAUUCAGAACGAGCUAAUUUCCCUUCUUGCUCAGGCUGUGAAAGUUUAUAUUAUGAGGGUUAUCAAGGAUGCUAAGUAUUUCUCUGUAAUAUUAGAUUGUACCCCGGAUGUCAGCCAUGAAGAACAAAUGACUUUAAUUGUGCGUUGUGUCAAUUUAUCGAGUAAUAUUCCAAGAGUCGAGGAGUUCUUUCUAGAGUUUUUGAAGGUGGAUGAUACAUCGGGAUUGGGGCUUUUUAAUGAACUGAUGAAGGCAUUGGACUCCCUUGAAUUGAAUGUCAGUGAUGUGAGAGGACAAGGUUAUGACAAUGGUUCUAAUAUGAAGGGGAAACACCAAGGAGUUCAGAAACGUUUGCUUGAAAUUAAUCCAAGAGCAUUAUACAUGCCAUGUGCAUGUCAUAGUCUAAAUUUAACUCUAUGUGAUAUGGCAAAAUCGUGCAAUAAAGCUAUUUCGUUCUUUGGUGUUAUACAACGAAUAUAUACACUAUUUUCAUGCUCGACAAAAAGAUGGAAGAUUUUUCUUGAGAAUGUUCCACACUUGACUGUCAAAUCAGUGUGUAAUACACGAUGGGAGAGUCGAAUAAAAAGUGUCCAAGCUAUUAGAUACCAAACUCCCCAAAUAAGGUCAGCUUUGUUGGAACUAGAGAAAGCUUCUACCGAUGACCCAAAAGCUGUGAGUGAUGCUCAAUCUUUGGUCACUGCACUAGAGAAUUUUGAAUAUUUAGUUGGAAUGGUUAUUUGGCAUGAUAUAUUAUUUUCUAUAAAUAUGGUCAGCAAGAAGUUGCAGUCUGAGAUUGUGUGCAUGGAUGCUACUCUCAAGCAAAUCGAAGGUGUCAUAUCAUUUUUCCAGAGGUACAGAAAUGAAGGCUUCACUUCUAGUAUAGAUAUUGCAAAAGUCAUUGCAUCUGACAUGGAUAUAGAACCAAAAUUUCCUACAAAACGUCAAGCUAAAAGAAAGAAACAUUUUGAUGAACAAAAUGACCAAAAUGAAGAACAACAAUCAGUUGUGGAGUCCUUUAGAGUUAAUUACUUCCUAGUCAUGAUUGAUGUUGCAAUUGCCUCAUUGACUAGUCGAUUUGAGCAGUUGAAGGCAUUUGAAAAUGUGUUUGGUUUCUUGUUCACCUCAAAGAAUUUGAAAUCCUUGGAUGAUACUGAUCUAUGGCAGUGCUGCACUAAUUUUGUAGAGACAUUUUCACAUAAUAACUCAUCCGAUGUUGAGCUAAAUGACUUCUUUUCUGAAUUAAAAGUGUUGCAAGCGACUUUGCCAGAUGCUUUGAAGUCAGCACCUGAGAUUCUUGAAUUCAUUACAGCUGCAGAUUGCUAUCCAAAUGUUUUAGUUGCCUAUCGAAUCCUCUUAACUGUGCCUGUGACAGUAGCCUCAACUGAAAGAAGCUUCUCAAAAUUAAAGUUAUUGAAAAACUAUUUGAGAUCAACCAUGUCACAAGAAAGAUUAAAUGGCUUGGCUAUGUGCUGCAUUGAGAAGAAUGUCUUGGAAAAUAUUGAUCUCGAUACCGUCAUUAAUGAUUUUGCAUCAAGAAAUGCCCGAAGGAGUAUUUUUUUAUGAGAAGCAAAUGGAUAUCUGUCAUUUUAUCUUUUGUCAAGUAUUAUUAAUGAAGUCCCUAGAGCUUGAUCCUAAGUCAAGAAUUCAAGUGACUAGAUUGUGAUGGCAAAUGAAUGUGAUUCCUUUGUGUGCAUGAUGUCCGAAGAGACCCAUGUUGAGGCAUAUUCCUUGCCAAUGCAAAAUGAAGACCUUCAUACUUCAACAAAUGGUGCAAAAGGAAGAGCCAAAAGAUCAAGCAACUUUAAUCGUAAGGAGGACAUUCAACUGUGCAUUUCAUGGCAAAGCAUUAGCUCGGAUCCUAUUAUUGGCAAUGAGCAACCAGGGAAGGCAUAUUGGCAAAGGAUUGCAGAGCACUACCAUGCUAACUGUGAUUUUAAGUCUGAUAGGAAUGCAAACUCUCUUGAGCACUUUGGGAUAACAUUCAGAAGGAAGUAAGCAAGUUUCAGGGCUGCUACGAGCAAAUUGAGCGUCGACAUCCAAGUGGCAUACCACAUCAAGAGCUUGUUCUUGAAGCUGAGGCAUUGUACUCAUCCAAUGCAUCGAAGAAUAGGGCAUUUCAGUUUAAUCAUUGUUGGCUCAAGUUGAGGAAUUCUCCAAAGUUUCAAACUCUAGAAUCCCACAAGAGGCCAAGGUCUAGGAAGUCUUCCACCCCAAUUGAGAGUGCUAGUGAAGAAGAUGAAGAAGGAGAUGAUGCUAGGAAGAGUACAACUCCUGAUUUAUUACAGCCAAGUGCUAAAAAAAGACCAAUGGGUAGGAAGCAAGCAAAGGAGAAGAUGAAGAAUGGAGAAGAUGGACCAUAAA
This is an RNA transcript of Oryza sativa Japonica Group (Japanese rice), 4388 nucleotides long. RefSeq lists it as uncharacterized. The record is from RefSeq and is a predicted model, not a curated record. Lineage: Eukaryota; Viridiplantae; Streptophyta; Magnoliopsida; Poales; Poaceae.